GGUCUCUUAGUUCAAUGGAUAGAACAAGUCUCUCCUAAAGAUUAGAUUUGGGUUCGAUUCCCAAAGAGACCA
This 72-nucleotide transfer RNA is filed under the name Caudoviricetes sp. RNAcentral's name for it is "tRNA-Arg". It matches the Rfam family "tRNA". Rfam says of the family: Transfer RNA (tRNA) molecules are approximately 80 nucleotides in length. Their secondary structure includes four short double-helical elements and three loops (D, anti-codon, and T loops). Lineage: Duplodnaviria; Heunggongvirae; Uroviricota; Caudoviricetes. The record is from RNAcentral.